GAGACAUUGAAGUUACUUCAAAGUCUUUAAACGUCAAGGUUUCCCCUUCUACAUUCUUUUCCUGCCUCUAGCCAAUAAGUUCUUGUACUUUUUCUGCCACUAAUGUGUGCCAAUUGUAUGUUAUCUGAUAGGCUGUACAACGACUUAUAUUUCAUAGAUGCCAAAGGAGCUGUUAGUUUAAAGUCAUUCUACAAUUUAUGUUGUAGAAUGUUGAACUCGGUCUCCCGCGAGAGAUAAAUUUGUAUAUGGGCCUUUGCUAUGGUUGUAGUAACUGCAUAAUGGAGAAUUUUCUUCAAUUGGCACUUCUUACAGUUGUUGAAACCCCAACAGUGGUGGAUCAUAUAGUAAAUUGUAAAUGAGAAUGGA
Molecule: unclassified non-coding RNA, 366 nt
Filed under: Hevea brasiliensis (rubber tree)
Lineage: Eukaryota; Viridiplantae; Streptophyta; Magnoliopsida; Malpighiales; Euphorbiaceae
Source: RNAcentral